GAUGAACGCUAGCGGCAGGCCUAACACAUGCAAGUCGAGGGGCAUCGCGGUGCAGCAAUGCACUGGCGGCGACCGGCGUACGGGUGCGUAACGCGUAUGCAACCUGCCCCGCACCGGGGGAUAGCCCGCCGAAAGGCGGAUUAAUACCCCAUGGUCCCCGGGGGCCCGCAUGGGCAUCCGGGUAAAGCCUUGGCGGUGCGGGAUGGGCAUGCGUGCCAUUAGCUGGCUGGUGGGGUAACGGCCCACCAGGGCAACGAUGGCUAGGGGAUCUGAGAGGAUGGUCCCCCACACUGGUACUGAGACACGGACCAGACUCCUACGGGAGGCAGCAGUGAGGAAUAUUGGUCAAUGGGCGAAGCCUGAACCAGCCAUGCCGCGUGCGGGAUGAAGGCCCUACGGGUUGUAAACCGCUUUUCCCCGGGAAGAACUAAGCCCCCCGCGGGGGUGAGUGCCGGUACCGGGGAAUAAGGAUCGGCUAACGUCCGUG
This 487-nucleotide ribosomal RNA is filed under the name uncultured bacterium. Its description in RNAcentral is "bacterial SSU rRNA". It matches the Rfam family "Bacterial small subunit ribosomal RNA", at positions 28 to 507 of the family's 1533-position model. The record is from RNAcentral.